CAGUCGCCACGGUAAUACGAAGGGGGCUAGCGUUGUUCGGAAUUACUGGGCGUAAAGCGCACGCAGGCGGCUCGAUAAAUUAGAAGUGAAAGCCUUGGGCUUAACCUGAGAAUUGCUUUUAAGACUGUCGAGCUAGAAUCCAGAAGAGGGUAGUGGAAUUCCGAGUGUAGAGGUGAAAUUCGUAGAUAUUCGGAAGAACACCAGUGGCGAAGGCGACUACCUGGUCUGGCAUUGACGCUCAUGUGCGAAAGCGUGGGGAGCAAACAGGAUUAGAUACCCGUGUAGUCCCUGUCUCUUAUAA
Molecule: ribosomal RNA, 301 nt
Filed under: uncultured bacterium
Lineage: Bacteria
Description: partial 16S ribosomal RNA
Rfam family: Bacterial small subunit ribosomal RNA
Source: RNAcentral